CCUACGGGAGGCAGCAGUGGGGAAUAUUGGACAAUGGGCGAAAGCCUGAUCCAGCAAUGCCGCGUGAGUGAUGAAGGCCUUCGUGUCGUAAAGCUCUUUUACCAGGGAUGAUAAUGACAGUACCUGGAGAAUAAGCUCCGGCUAACUCCGUGCCAGCAGCCGCGGUAAUACGGAGGGAGCUAGCGUUGUUCGGAAUUACUGGGCGUAAAGAGUACGUAGGCGGUUAUUCAAGUCAGAGGUGAAAGCCCGGGGCUCAACCCCGGAACUGCCUUUGAAACUAGAUAACUAGAGUCUUGGAGAGGUUAGUGGAAUUCCGAGUGUAGAGGUGAAAUUCGUAGAUAUUCGGAAGAACACCAGUGGCGAAGGCGACUAACUGGACAAGUACUGACGCUGAGGUACGAAAGCGUGGGGAGCAAACAGGAUUAGAUACCCUGGUAGUCCACGCCGUAAACGAUGAUAACUAGUUGUUCGGUCACUUGGUGACUGAGUGACGCAGCUAACGCAUUAAGUUAUCCGCCUGGGGAGUACGGUCGCAAGAUUAAAACUUAAAGGAAUUGACGG
RNAcentral lists this ribosomal RNA (561 nucleotides) under uncultured bacterium. Its description in RNAcentral is "bacterial SSU rRNA". It matches the Rfam family "Bacterial small subunit ribosomal RNA", at positions 338 to 916 of the family's 1533-position model. The record is from RNAcentral.